UUCCUAUUGUGUGCAAUGACUCAGGUAUCCAGGUGAGGAAAUACAGACAGACUUCCUUGUAGGAGUAUCAUCUUCCCCCUCCCUGACUCUCCUGCCGUGUGUAUAAAAAGCAGAGACAGGUUUCCUUCCCACACUGUUGUGCUCCUUACCGCAGAGACACCUUUGUGUUUGCAGCUCUCCCUGAAACUAUGGCUAAGAAGGUGGCAGUGAUCCUUGCUGGCUGUGGGGUUUAUGAUGGCAGUGAGAUUCACGAGUCGUCGGCUGUAUACGUUCACCUUAGCAGAGCCGGAGCUCAGACUGAAUUUUUUGCCCCAAACAUAGAUCAGAUGCACGUAGUGAAUCACAUCAAAGGGCUGCCCACAGAAGAUAAACGUAAUGUGCUUGAGGAGAGCGCACGGAUUGCAAGAGGGAAUAUCAAAGACCUUAAAGAUCUUGACGUUAGUGAAUAUGAUGCAGUUAUUAUACCAGGAGGUUUUGGAGUUGCCAAAAACCUUUCUACCUGGGCUGUGAAAGGAAAGGAUUGUUCAGUUGCAAAAGAGGUUGAAGCAGUUAUCAAAGGAUUCCAUGGAGCCAAGAAACCCAUCGGUUUGUGCUGUAUCUCCCCCGUACUGGCUGCAAAGCUCUUUCCUGGAUGUGAACUGACUGUCGGCUGUGAUACAGAGUGUGAAAAGUGGCCAUAUGCAGGCACAGCAGCUGCCAUUAAGGAGCUCGGCUGCAAGCACAUCAACAAGCAAGUGAGUGAAGUCCAUGUGGAUGCAAAGAACAAGUUGGUCACCACCAGCGCCUUUAUGUGUAACAGUCCAGUUCAUGAGAUUUAUGACGGCAUUGGGGAAAUGGUGAAAUCCGUUCUGAAGCUAACAAAUUGAUAACAGUAUUCACAAUAGUUAUUUAAAAUGUGUAUUUAUAUAUCAUACAAUAAAAUUGCAUCCUUUCACCAGAA
This is an RNA transcript of Xenopus laevis (African clawed frog), 940 nucleotides long. It is a transcript of the gene named glutamine amidotransferase like class 1 domain containing 3A-like gene b1 L homeolog, with no coding region annotated. The record is from RefSeq and is a predicted model, not a curated record. NCBI's taxonomy places the organism in Eukaryota, Metazoa, Chordata, Amphibia, Anura, Pipidae. The transcript is spliced from 4 exons.